UUUAGAACCGUCGUGAGACAGUUCGGUCCCUAUCUGCCGUGGGCGCUGGAGAACUGAGGGGGGCUGCUCCUAGUACGAGAGGACCGGAGUGGACGCAUCACUGGUGUUCGGGUUGUCAUGCCAAUGGCACUGCCCGGUAGCUAAAUGCGGAAGAGAUAAGUGCUGAAAGCAUCUAAGCACGAAACUUGCCCCGAGAUGAGUUCUCCCUGAGACUUUAAGUCUCCUGAAGGAACGUUGAAGACGACGACGUUGAUAGGCCGGGUGUGUAAGCGCAGCGAUGCGUUGAGCUAACCGGUACUAAUGAACCGUGAGGCUUAACCUUACAACGCCGAAG
Molecule: ribosomal RNA, 334 nt
Filed under: Salmonella enterica subsp. enterica serovar Infantis
Lineage: Bacteria; Pseudomonadati; Pseudomonadota; Gammaproteobacteria; Enterobacterales; Enterobacteriaceae
Description: partial 23S ribosomal RNA
Rfam family: Bacterial large subunit ribosomal RNA
Source: RNAcentral